Molecule: long non-coding RNA, 2298 nt
Organism: Arvicola amphibius (Eurasian water vole)
Lineage: Eukaryota; Metazoa; Chordata; Mammalia; Rodentia; Cricetidae
Exons: 3
Source: RefSeq, a predicted model, not a curated record
GCCGCUGCGCUCUGGAAGCGAAGGACGGCGGAGCGAGCGCGCCACGGCGAGCGCGGGCCGUGGGAAGCUGCUCGGCGGGUCGCGCGCUCUCUCGCCUGGCGAUGGCGGCUUGGCUAGCUUUCGCAAUGCCUGGCAGAGCCGGACUGCCCACCCAUGUUGCAGCGAGGCGAGCGCGCGCGCAGUGGUCCUGCUUUUUCCUUCUCAUCGUCUACUGCGGAACAGCAUCUUAUUCAAGGGCAUCGACUUGACUAAGUACCUUUUGAGAAAUCUUGGAAAUGAAGUCUCCAUGAUGAGCAGAGAUGCGGGCACAUUGGAGUGAUGUCUGCUGAAGGUUUCCCCAGCACUAUCGGGAUUGAAGCAAUUGCCUACGUAAUGUACCACAUAUGGACGUAGAGAUGCCAGCUUCAGAUGCCGCGAUGCAUCUUCAGAUUUUCCACGCAGUAGAUCAGAGAGUAGCGCGGUGAAAUCAAAGGGCCCGUGAUCUCGAUGCUUCCUCUCUCCAUUUCGCAUGCUGAAAUAUUAAUAAAGUAGAAAAUCAAAGGAGAGCAAUUUAGGGAUUCUCGUGUCCUCUGAUUGCAGCUCGUUUCUGUGGGUCCAAUUUUAGACAAAGAAGAAAGAACCGUAAUGGAAAGGAGCGUGGCGAGGGAAACAAGAAUGACAAAGGAACAGAAGCGAAAUCAAAGGGUCGGCGUCCAAACACUUUGUCUCUGUAAGGCAUUGUUCAAGCCCUCCCUCUCCCAGCAUCUCUAGCGGUGGCUGGGCAACGCUGUCAGGAACUGGCAGCCUCCAAGCAUUGCAGUGUGCAGCUCGCACUGUUUAUUGCCAGCUGGAUGACAGCUUCAGUUUGGAACACUCUGGUUCGAGAUGACUUUUCUGGGCUGUCUCAGAGUCAACUUCCUCGGGGGUACCAUAGAGUUUCUUCUUCUUCCUGCAUUCUCUGGGACCCUCUCAGUCAACGAGACUGCCUUCUCCCUAGAAACCAGCCAUGAGACUGCAGAAGGAAAGCAAAAACAAACAAACAAACAAACAAACAAGUCUUUUUAGUCCCUACUGGCAAGGGCACGGUGGUGUGACACUCCUGCAGUAAGAACAUGGCAAAGUCUUCUUGGAGCUGGAAUGUAGAAAGAGGCGAGACAGAGAGAAUGGAAAUGCUCACUGGAGGCUGAAGGGCAGCCCUGGAUUAAUGAAUUUCCUUGGUGCCAGUAACAGAGCUCUGGGUCAAACGGUGUGCAAGAGACUUGAUUGACUCCUGCAACCUUCAGAAUUAAAAGCACGCGCAUGCAGGUCAAUUGUACAAUGGUGUUGGGUUCUUUCUCUGUUUGUGGGCUGACUGUUCCCUGUGCUGGUUUAUUCUCAAGCAGGCUCCCCCACUUAGACUGAACAUGACAGGAGCAGCACCAAAUGACCUUCCAACUAGUCUCCACAUCUCUUCUAAAGGCAUUCACCUACCCAGUAGCUCCCGGCACCAUCUCAGAACCCAGCUGAGAUCAUGGGAAUAGCAAUGGGUGUGGUUAGGAUUUUCUAAAGAGAACUGAGCCUUCGCUGCCAGAGGAGGAGAGGGUGAAACCCCAACAUCAUCACUUUUCUGUUGGCCCUUGGGUCAAUCCUUUGGUUUGUUUCGAAGCAGAUGUUUCACAGGGCCAUCCCCGCAGCUAGUGGCUCCUUUACACAGGGCCCAGACUGCAGUGUCUCCUCUGGAAAACAUCUAAUUCCAUCUCAGUUCACACAAGCACUUGAGAGCUACUCCACUCUGAAGUUCCAAUAGGUCAUCGGCAGACGUGGUAAGUUCUUCUGAGCGUGCUGACACAGGGACUUGAAUGCUCACGAUGAACCAAGCAGCAUCCCUCUACAGGGCCAAGAGAGAGCAAGGAUGUUCAGGCAAGCUUCCCUACAGAGACUCGCAGCUAGUGGGAGAAGCAUCCCAAUCUUUUUUUUUCUUUUUCUGUAGAGGUAGCACCUUCAUUUUUCUGAGCACUUUCCCAUUUCUCCCCCACUUUGCUGAGAGUAUAAGAACUGGUUAAAGGUUCCCAGGAACCCUUUUCUGAUAUCAGGGUUUAUGAAUGUGUUAUGAUGGGAUUGAGUAUUUGGCCUCUAUUGGCCUGUGGACAAAGAUGGUGCACACUGUCAAAUCAAAUUACACUCAUGUUAUUGAAGCAAUCGCCUGUAGUAUUGAUUACAAUGGUGCCUAUUCUAUGUGAAAAAUGAAUUGUGUGUACAACACGUUGAUUUAUCCUACCUAUUAAUCUGUGAGGAUAUGAUCUCUUAAAAUAAUUCCACAAACUGCUUCUAUAACUUUAA